This 583-nucleotide ribosomal RNA is filed under the name uncultured bacterium. Its description in RNAcentral is "bacterial SSU rRNA". It matches the Rfam family "Bacterial small subunit ribosomal RNA", at positions 235 to 833 of the family's 1533-position model. The record is from RNAcentral.
GUCUGAUUAGUUAGUUGGUGGGGUAACGGCUCACCAAGGCGACGAUCAGUAGCCGACCUGAGAGGGUGAUCGGCCACAUUGGAACUGAGACACGGUCCAAACUCCUACGGGAGGCAGCAGUGGGGAAUAUUGCACAAUGGGCGCAAGCCUGAUGCAGCAACGCCGCGUGAACGAAGAAGGCCUUCGGGUCGUAAAGUUCUGUCCAUAGGGAAGAAACAAAUGACGGUACCUGUGGAGGAAGCCCCGGCUAAAUACGUGCCAGCAGCCGCGGUAAUACGUAUGGGGCAAGCGUUAUCCGGAAUUAUUGGGCGUAAAGAGUGCGUAGGUGGUGGCUUAAGCGCAGGGUUUAAGGCAAUAGCUUAACUAUUGUUCGCCUUGCGAACUGGGUCACUUGAGUACAGGAGAGGAAAGCGGAAUUCCUAGUGUAGCGGUGAAAUGCAUAGAUAUUAGGAGGAACACCGGUGGCGAAGGCGGCUUUCUGGACUGCAACUGACACUGAGGCACGAAAGCGUGGGUAGCAAACAGGAUUAGAUACCCUGGUAGUCCACGCCGUAAACGAUGAGCACUAGGUGUCGGCCAAUAA